Long non-coding RNA from Populus euphratica (Euphrates poplar), 215 nucleotides. RefSeq lists it as uncharacterized. The transcript is spliced from 2 exons. Lineage: Eukaryota; Viridiplantae; Streptophyta; Magnoliopsida; Malpighiales; Salicaceae. The record is from RefSeq and is a predicted model, not a curated record.
AAUGGAGAACCGGUAACGAGAGAAGAGGAGGAGCCUGUAACCAGGUGCUUUGAAAGAGAAUGCCGCCGAGAGUCAAGGCGUUUUGAGAAGGAGUCUCACUGCUGUCUUUCAAUGGACACGCAGUAGCUUAAGCGCUGCUAGACUGUAAUCCAUCUCCUGAUCUCCACCGAUUCCUCCUCCUCCCUUUCUUCUCUGCAUAUAGAAAUUUUAACAAA